Molecule: ribosomal RNA, 890 nt
Filed under: Arthrobacter sp.
Lineage: Bacteria; Bacillati; Actinomycetota; Actinomycetes; Micrococcales; Micrococcaceae
Description: bacterial SSU rRNA
Rfam family: Bacterial small subunit ribosomal RNA
Source: RNAcentral
AAGAGCUCGUAGGCGGUUUGUCGCGUCUGCCGUGAAAGUCCGGGGCUCAACUCCGGAUCUGCGGUGGGUACGGGCAGACUAGAGUGAUGUAGGGGAGACUGGAAUUCCUGGUGUAGCGGUGAAAUGCGCAGAUAUCAGGAGGAACACCGAUGGCGAAGGCAGGUCUCUGGGCAUUAACUGACGCUGAGGAGCGAAAGCAUGGGGAGCGAACAGGAUUAGAUACCCUGGUAGUCCAUGCCGUAAACGUUGGGCACUAGGUGUGGGGGACAUUCCACGUUUUCCGCGCCGUAGCUAACGCAUUAAGUGCCCCGCCUGGGGAGUACGGCCGCAAGGCUAAAACUCAAAGGAAUUGACGGGGGCCCGCACAAGCGGCGGAGCAUGCGGAUUAAUUCGAUGCAACGCGAAGAACCUUACCAAGGCUUGACAUGAACCGGUAAUACCUGGAGACAGGUGCCCCGCUUGCGGUCGGUUUACAGGUGGUGCAUGGUUGUCGUCAGCUCGUGUCGUGAGAUGUUGGGUUAAGUCCCGCAACGAGCGCAACCCUCGUUCUAUGUUGCCAGCACGUGAUGGUGGGGACUCAUAGGAGACUGCCGGGGUCAACUCGGAGGAAGGUGGGGACGACGUCAAAUCAUCAUGCCCCUUAUGUCUUGGGCUUCACGCAUGCUACAAUGGCCGGUACAAAGGGUUGCGAUACUGUGAGGUGGAGCUAAUCCCAAAAAGCCGGUCUCAGUUCGGAUUGGGGUCUGCAACUCGACCCCAUGAAGUCGGAGUCGCUAGUAAUCGCAGAUCAGCAACGCUGCGGUGAAUACGUUCCCGGGCCUUGUACACACCGCCCGUCAAGUCACGAAAGUUGGUAACACCCGAAGCCGGUGGCCUAACCCCUUGUGGGA